UCACCCAGGGCUCCUGUUAUGGACGCUGUAUUUUCUUUUGCUGUUCCUUUAUCUCCUCAGGACUUGACCUCUGCUCUAACCAAGAAGAUUACUCUGAAGACCCCCUUGGUUUCCUCACCUAUGGACACUGUCACGGAGGCUGGAAUGGCCAUCGCAAUGGCGCUUACAGGAGGCAUUGGCUUCAUCCACCACAACUGCACACCUGAAUUCCAGGCCAAUGAAGUUCGGAAAGUGAAGGUUAGAAGGGCAAAAAUCAUGGCCAAGAGUUCCUGGGAAUUACAGGCGUGGGGUGGGAGUGGAGGGUUUGUUUUGCUAAGCGUCCUCUCCUCGUGCUGUGAGGUUCAGUAAGGAAGACCUAGACCCCAUGUCGUAAGCUGGUGCACAGUGCUUCCAGAGACCUCUGUCCUUGUUUGAGGGUUUGAUUUGGUUCUGUGGCUCUGCUGUACAGGACAGUUGGGCAUGGGCCUGAUGACAGUGAUUUCAAAGAUGCAGUGACCUUCUCACCAUACCUUCCAGAAAUAUGAACAGGGAUUCAUCACUGACCCUGUGGUCCUUAGCCCCAAGGAUCGUGUGCGCGAUGUUUUUGAGGCCAAAGCCAGGCAUGGCUUCUGUGGUAUCCCCAUCACAGAUACCGGCCGGAUGGGGAGUCGAUUGGUGGGCAUCAUCUCC
This 669-nucleotide long non-coding RNA is filed under the name Rattus norvegicus (Norway rat). RNAcentral describes it as "long non-coding RNA NONRATT028041". The record is from RNAcentral. Lineage: Eukaryota; Metazoa; Chordata; Mammalia; Rodentia; Muridae.